This is a long non-coding RNA of Perognathus longimembris pacificus (Pacific pocket mouse), 254 nucleotides long. RefSeq lists it as uncharacterized. The record is from RefSeq and is a predicted model, not a curated record. Lineage: Eukaryota; Metazoa; Chordata; Mammalia; Rodentia; Heteromyidae. The transcript has 3 exons.
CAUCUCUAGAUCAUAAGCAUUUUCAUCUAUCUACAGAAGGGAUAAAGGGAAAGCUUACAGCCAUAUUCUGUACACAGUAAGUGCUCAGGAUGUACUUGUGUCUCAACUUCUAUGUAGAGAAGAGUACUAUCAAUGUUGCCUUCCCUGCUUCUCAUUUUGUAGAUCUCCUUAAAGUGUUUGGGUAUGCUUGAUUUUAAGUGAGUUAAACAGAAGUUAAAGGAUAGAAUAGGGCUGGGAAUGUGGCUUAGAGGUAG